This 465-nucleotide ribosomal RNA is filed under the name Vreelandella stevensii. RNAcentral describes it as "partial 16S ribosomal RNA". It matches the Rfam family "Bacterial small subunit ribosomal RNA", at positions 338 to 795 of the family's 1533-position model. The record is from RNAcentral. Lineage: Bacteria; Pseudomonadati; Pseudomonadota; Gammaproteobacteria; Oceanospirillales; Halomonadaceae.
CCUACGGGGGGCAGCAGUGGGGAAUAUUGGACAAUGGGCGAAAGCCUGAUCCAGCCAUGCCGCGUGUGUGAAGAAGGCCUUCGGGUUGUAAAGCACUUUCAGUGGGGAAGAAAGCCUUGGGGCUAAUACCCUCGAGGAAGGACAUCACCCACAGAAGAAGCACCGGCUAACUCCGUGCCAGCAGCCGCGGUAAUACGGAGGGUGCGAGCGUUAAUCGGAAUUACUGGGCGUAAAGCGCGCGUAGGCGGUCUGAUAAGCCGGUUGUGAAAGCCCCGGGCUCAACCUGGGAACGGCAUCCGGAACUGUCAGGCUAGAGUGCAGGAGAGGAAGGUAGAACUCCCGGUGUAGCGGUGAAAUGCGUAGAGAUCGGGAGGAAUACCAGUGGCGAAGGCGGCCUUCUGGACUGACACUGACGCUGAGGUGCGAAAGCGUGGGUAGCAAACAGGAUUAGAUACCCGUGUAGUC